RNAcentral lists this ribosomal RNA (253 nucleotides) under uncultured prokaryote. RNAcentral describes it as "partial 16S ribosomal RNA". It matches the Rfam family "Bacterial small subunit ribosomal RNA", at positions 524 to 776 of the family's 1533-position model. The record is from RNAcentral.
UACAGAGGGGGCAAGCGUUGUUCGGAAUUACUGGGCGUAAAGGGCGCGUAGGCGGCCUUCUAAGUCGAACGUGAAAUCCCCGGGCUCAACCCGGGAACUGCGUCCGAUACUGGAAGGCUUGAAUCCGGGAGAGGGAUGCGGAAUUCCAGGUGUAGCGGUGGAAUGCGCAGAUAUCAGGAGGAACACCAAUAGCGAAGGCAGCUCGCUGGGACGGUAUUGACGCUAAGGCGCGAAAGCGUGGGGAGCAAACAGG